RNAcentral lists this ribosomal RNA (253 nucleotides) under uncultured bacterium. RNAcentral describes it as "partial 16S ribosomal RNA". It matches the Rfam family "Bacterial small subunit ribosomal RNA", at positions 524 to 776 of the family's 1533-position model. The record is from RNAcentral.
UACGUAGGGGGCAAGCGUUGUCCGGAAUUAUUGGGCGUAAAGAGCGCGUAGGCGGUCCGAUAAGUCGGCUGUGAAAGUCAAGGGCUCAACCCUUGAAAGCCGGCCGAUACUGUCGGACUAGAGUCCGGAAGAGGCGAGUGGAAUUCCCGGUGUAGCGGUGAAAUGCGCAGAUAUCAGGAGGAACACCGAUGGCGAAGGCAGCUCGCUGGGACGGUACUGACGCUGAGGCGCGAAAGCGUGGGGAGCGAACAGG